Molecule: ribosomal RNA, 155 nt
Filed under: Cathetus virgatus
Lineage: Eukaryota; Viridiplantae; Streptophyta; Magnoliopsida; Malpighiales; Phyllanthaceae
Also listed under: 1 other name
Description: Phyllanthus virgatus 5.8S ribosomal RNA
Rfam family: 5.8S ribosomal RNA
About the family: 5.8S ribosomal RNA (5.8S rRNA) is a component of the large subunit of the eukaryotic ribosome. It is transcribed by RNA polymerase I as part of the 45S precursor that also contains 18S and 28S rRNA. Functionally, it is thought that 5.8S rRNA may be involved in ribosome translocation.
Source: RNAcentral
AAACGACUCUCGGCAACGGAUAUCUCGGCUCUCGCAUCGAUGAAGAACGUAGCGAAAUGCGAUACUUGGUGUGAAUUGCAGAAUCCCGUGAACCAUCGAGUUUUUGAACGCAAGUUGCGCCCGAAGCCUUUUGGUCGAGGGCACGUCUGCCUGGG